ACAGGGAGGUAGGGUGGGGUCAGGUGUAUUCGGUUAUGUCCUCGGGUAGUCGGAUAUUCGAAUCCCUGCCCCCAGCCAAGCUAUUAC
Molecule: microRNA precursor, 87 nt
Filed under: Haemonchus placei
Lineage: Eukaryota; Metazoa; Nematoda; Chromadorea; Rhabditida; Trichostrongylidae
Description: mir-5912 microRNA precursor family
Rfam family: mir-5912 microRNA precursor family
Source: Rfam by way of RNAcentral